UGAGUUCUGAGCUUUGGAAAGCUGAAAGAUUGCCCUACUUUUUCAACUCAAUUUUUUACAGUUUUGGUAUUCAAACUGCAUUGGUGAGUUUAAGUAUCAGACUUUUAGUAUUUCAUUUUCUAGCUUUAUUUCCAUACAUCUUCUAACUUUUUCCUCUCUUUUUCCUAUUUUUUUUAUAGUACAGAUUGAUUUUAAUGCGAAUCCUUUUGUAGCCACCAAGAGCUAGAAGAUGUUAGCAUCUUACCGCCCAAAGAUUUAACUUUUGAAGGGUUUGAUAUGACUAGCAAUGUCCCUCUGCAAUGUCUACUAAUCGAGGAUAUGAAUAUACGACCUUUGCCCUCACACGGGCUGAGGGAUCGAAGUUUCUUAUUGCUGCUCCUCAAUUCAAGUAUCUUAACCUUUGGAUAUCAUGAUUCCUUCUUCACCUGUUCGCGUCAGGGAUCCUUCCAAAGGGAGAAAAAUGUCAUGUUGCUCUGAGCAAAUUCCAAAAUUUCUUAUUCUCUUUGGGCAUAUACUCCAAAUUUCGUGUCUCUAUUCAUUCCUUGCCUAUAUGAAAAAUUAGAUUCAGGGGGUCUAUCUUUGUUUUCUCAUUUUGUUUCUUGGACUGCUAAAUUUGCUUUUACUUACUUUAAUCAAUUUUGGAAAUUACCAAAGGAGCUUUCUUCAGCAUAAAGGGAAAAAAUGAUUGAUGCUCAUCCGAUGCAAGCUGUGGUCUAUACCAUGUCCA
This 727-nucleotide long non-coding RNA is filed under the name Olea europaea subsp. europaea. The record is from RNAcentral. Lineage: Eukaryota; Viridiplantae; Streptophyta; Magnoliopsida; Lamiales; Oleaceae.